AUACGUAGGACGCGAGCGUUAUCCGGAUUCAUUGGGUUUAAAGGGUGCGCAGGCGGGAGAUUAAGUCGGCGGUGAAAUUUUGCAGCUCAACUGUAAAAGUGCCUUCGAAACUGGUUUCCUUGAGUGUAGAUGAAGUAGGCGGAAUUUGUGGUGUAGCGGUGAAAUGCAUAGAUAUCACGAGGAACUCCGAUUGCGCAGGCAGCUUACUAAACUACUACUGACGCUCAGGCACGAAGGCGUGGGGAUCAAACAGGAUUAGAUACCCUGGUAGUCCACGCAGUAAACGAUGAUUACUAGCUGUUUGCGAUACAAUGUAAGCGGCUGAGCGAAAGCGUUAAGUAAUCCACCUGGGGAGUACGUUCGCAAGAAUGAAACUCAAAGGAAUUGACGGGG
RNAcentral lists this ribosomal RNA (393 nucleotides) under uncultured bacterium. Its description in RNAcentral is "partial 16S ribosomal RNA". It matches the Rfam family "Bacterial small subunit ribosomal RNA", at positions 523 to 918 of the family's 1533-position model. The record is from RNAcentral.